Phrynosoma platyrhinos (Desert horned lizard) is the source of this 75-nucleotide non-coding RNA. The record is from the annotation of a GenBank genome assembly. Lineage: Eukaryota; Metazoa; Chordata; Lepidosauria; Squamata; Phrynosomatidae.
GCCAGUGUGGUGUAAUGGUUGGACUGUUGGACUAGGACUGCAGAGGAAACCAGGGUUCAAAUCCCUGCUCAGCCA